RNAcentral lists this ribosomal RNA (385 nucleotides) under uncultured eukaryote. RNAcentral describes it as "SSU rRNA". It matches the Rfam family "Eukaryotic small subunit ribosomal RNA", at positions 587 to 972 of the family's 1831-position model. The record is from RNAcentral.
AGCUCCAAUAGCGUAUAUUAAAGUUGUUGCAGUUAAAAGCUCGUAGUUGGAUUUCUGGUGGGAGCGAUCGGUCCGUCCCGCGAGGGAUGCGCACUGGUGUCGCCUCCGGCCAUCCUUGGGGAGAGCGACCCUGGCAUUAGGUUGUCGGGGCCGGGAUCCCCAUCGUUUACUGUGAAAAAUUAGAGUGUUUAAAGCAGGCUUAUGCCUUGAAUACAUUAGCAUGGAAUAAUAAGAUAGGACUUUGGCGGUCUAUUUUGUUGGUUUGCACGCCAAGGUAAUGAUUAAUAGGGAUAGUUGGGGGUAUUCAUAUUCAAUUGUCAGAGGUGAAAUUCUUGGAUUUAUGGAAGAUGAACUACUGCGAAAGCAUUUACCAAGGAUGUUUUCA